Aricia agestis (brown argus) is the source of this 72-nucleotide long non-coding RNA. RefSeq lists it as uncharacterized. The transcript is spliced from 3 exons. The record is from RefSeq and is a predicted model, not a curated record. Lineage: Eukaryota; Metazoa; Arthropoda; Insecta; Lepidoptera; Lycaenidae.
GUUUAACAUCUUUCUAAAUAUCAUGCCUUCUCUUUCAUACAUACGAGAAACGAUAGAGAUAACAUGAUAUAU